RNAcentral lists this ribosomal RNA (493 nucleotides) under Oceanospirillaceae bacterium S-C30. RNAcentral describes it as "bacterial SSU rRNA". It matches the Rfam family "Bacterial small subunit ribosomal RNA", at positions 1 to 495 of the family's 1533-position model. Lineage: Bacteria; Pseudomonadati; Pseudomonadota; Gammaproteobacteria; Oceanospirillales; Oceanospirillaceae. The record is from RNAcentral.
UUGAGCUUGAAUCCUGGCUCAGAUUGAACGCUGGCGGCAGGCCUAACACAUGCAAGUCGAGCGGCAGCACGAGAAAGCUUGCUUUCUUGGUGGCGAGCGGCGGACGGGUGAGUAACACAUGGGAAUCUGCCCGAUAGUGGGGGACAACGUUUCGAAAGGAACGCUAAUACCGCAUACGUCCUACGGGAGAAAGCAGGCUUAGGCUUGCGCUAUCGGAUGAGCCCAUGUCGGAUUAGCUUGUUGGUGAGGUAAUGGCUCACCAAGGCGACGAUCCGUAACUGGUCUGAGAGGAUGAUCAGUCACACCGGAACUGAGACACGGUCCGGACUCCUACGGGAGGCAGCAGUGGGGAAUAUUGGACAAUGGGGGCAACCCUGAUCCAGCCAUGCCGCGUGUGUGAAGAAGGCCUUCGGGUUGUAAAGCACUUUCAGCGAGGAGGAAAGCAGUAAGGUUAAUACCCUUAUUGUGUGACGUACUCGCGAAGAGACCGACU